Molecule: long non-coding RNA, 1072 nt
Organism: Marmota flaviventris (yellow-bellied marmot)
Lineage: Eukaryota; Metazoa; Chordata; Mammalia; Rodentia; Sciuridae
Source: RefSeq, a predicted model, not a curated record
UGGAAGGGCGCAGGGAGCCAGGGAUUUCCUCCUCCUUCCCCACCCCGCAACCCUCCCUGGGAGAACCGUGUCGGUGCGAGGUGAGGCCAAAGAGCCUUCUGCCCGCAAAGUGGAGCAAUGGGCAAAGGUCCCAGUUCCAUGUGGGAUUCAGCUCCUCGCAUCCAAAAGUUUCAGCUGACUGAAAGCAAAGAUGAAUAGUGAUUCGAGAGGAUGAGACUCCCGAUCGAGGGGAGACGGAGGAUGGAUAAGGGACAUAACAGUCAAACUGACCCCAGAGGGAGGAGGAGGCCUGAGCAGGUCGGCAUUUCCCACCACUGCAGAGCUCCAGCCGGCCCCUGCGGUGAGAGACCAGCUCUACCUGACCGAAGCUGCUCAGGGACCCGGGGACAGCUCCCUGUUACAAAGCCUGCCUCGGCGAGUUUCAAGCCGCUGGGAGAAUCCACGUCCCUCCAGACUCCCUUCCCUGAGCCAUGUCAGUGUCUCCAGCAACUCUGGAAUGCCACCCUCUCUCUGGGUGCUGGCACCCAGGGCCUGGCGUCUGCUCGGUGCACUGUCCCGCUGGGCCACCUCAGCCUGAGGGGACACUGUCCCUUGGAAACCCUGCAGGAAGGCAGGGCCUGCCUCCCACUCUCUGUGGGAGGAUGGAGUCCCAGUUCUCUGGAUUGGCAGUAGGAGGUCACAGUGACACUGAGCCACCUUCGUUAUUCCCCACUGUGUCCCCUCUGUCCCCCUCCCACUGUCCCCUUCAGAGGCCCCGUCACCUCCACACACCUGGGCCCAGAGCUCUGCCCCUCCGCGGGCCACAGUAGUUGCUGAAUGAAACCCGCGAGGCUGAGGGUGGGACCCCUGCCGACACCCCAAGUGUGCUGCCCUGGCUCGCUGGGUGGCCUCGAGCCCUCUCCAGAGCCGGGCUCUCUCCUGACCCUUCCUCGUGACUGCACGCGCCUCCUGCUCUGCUCUUUGCACGUGUUUUCCUUUAAAUGACUCACAGAGAAGCUCCCCAGGUUUCAGCCUCUGUGAAGCUGAGUGCCAACCGACGCUUCAACCAGGAAACAGACCCACAAGACCCGUC